Molecule: long non-coding RNA, 751 nt
Organism: Syngnathoides biaculeatus (alligator pipefish)
Lineage: Eukaryota; Metazoa; Chordata; Actinopteri; Syngnathiformes; Syngnathidae
Exons: 3
Source: RefSeq, a predicted model, not a curated record
ACAAACCGGCGUCAAAGCCAAAGUUGACAUUUUUUGGAAAGAUCGUUUUCCUCUCUCCGACAGAUAAAUGAGGGUGAUAGACGAUGGGAUGUUGAAGGUUUUAUGGUGCCUCGGUAACGUCUGUUCUUCUGUCCAACGGUGAGAUCUGGACACUCUACCGACGACGACUUAGGCAACGGGACAACUUUUAUAUGAGGCGCCUUAAACCAGCUGCAGAGUGAGUGAUACGACUGAGCUGGAACGAACUGGACAACCGCGAUCACAUUUUGUCAGCAAUUGACACCCGGGGGUCGACCAACUUUCUGCAACGGACAAACUGUGACCUCUCUUGUUCUCAUUGGGAAACAACACGCCAAAGCACCACGUUUUUUUGGUUAAUUUUAUUGAACCACAUAUAUGGCUGGCUCUGGCUGCUGUAGCUAUAUUUCACCGUUAGGGGAGAGGAAAUGAGUGAUAAGAAAGGGUUCAGUUGGAGCCCACCCGAGCUCACCCGAGCCGACUUGCUGUCGUUGCCAGUUUGUCGUCAAACUGACGAGAACCAGCGAGGGACGAGCAGUUGUUUCACUGGCAUUCUUGCCAUCCUGGCUGAGCAGAUAAAAGAAAUAGAACUUGUUGUGGACAGCGGAAAGGCAUCCAGCACAUAGAUGGCUCUCUCCAAAGUCGUGACAUCAUUAUCCCCAAAAGAAUCUCUUUCCCCUUGGGAUGCAAAUGAACCACUUUGUCUUAAUUCAAAUUGGUGCAAGGCACUGGC